RNAcentral lists this ribosomal RNA (253 nucleotides) under uncultured bacterium. RNAcentral describes it as "partial 16S ribosomal RNA". It matches the Rfam family "Bacterial small subunit ribosomal RNA", at positions 524 to 776 of the family's 1533-position model. The record is from RNAcentral.
UACAGAGGGGGCAAGCGUUAUUCGGAAUUAUUGGGCGUAAAGGGCGCGUAGGCGGCCAUUCAAGUGACGGGUGAAAGCCCUCGGCUUAACCGAGGAACUGCCUGUCAGACUGGAUGGCUUGAGACCGGGAGAGGUGAGUGGAAUUCCCAGUGUAGCGGUGAAAUGCGUAGAUAUCAGGAGGAACACCGAUGGCGAAGGCAGCUCGCUGGGACGGUACUGACGCUGAGGCGCGAAAGCGUGGGGAGCGAACAGG